GAUGAACGCUGGCGGCGUGCCUAAUACAUGCAAGUCGAGCGAACAGAUAAGGAGCUUGCUCCUUUGACGUUAGCGGCGGACGGGUGAGUAACACGUGGGUAACCUACCUAUAAGACUGGAAUAACUCCGGGAAACCGGGGCUAAUGCAGGAUAACAUGUUGAACCGCAUGGUUCCACAGUGAAAGGCGGCUUUGCUGUCACUUAUAGAUGGACCCGCGCCGUAUUAGCUAGUUGGUGAGGUAACGGCUCACCAAGGCAACGAUACGUAGCCGACCUGAGAGGGUGAUCGGCCACACUGGAACUGAGACACGGUCCAGACUCCUACGGGAGGCAGCAGUAGGGAAUCUUCCGCAAUGGGCGAAAGCCUGACGGAGCAACGCCGCGUGAGUGAUGAAGGUCUUCGGAUCGUAAAACUCUGUUAUUAGGGAAGAACAAAUGCGUAAGUAACUGUGCGCGUCUUGACGGUACCUAAUCAGAAAGCCACGGCUAACUACGUG
Molecule: ribosomal RNA, 497 nt
Filed under: uncultured bacterium
Lineage: Bacteria
Description: partial 16S ribosomal RNA
Rfam family: Bacterial small subunit ribosomal RNA
Source: RNAcentral